UACGGGGGGGGCAAGCGUUGUUCGGAAUUACUGGGCGUAAAGGGGACGUAGGCGGCCAACUAAGUCCGACGUGAAAUCCCAAGGCUUAACCUUGGAACUGCGUCGGAUACUGGAUGGCUUGAAUUCGGGAGAGGGAUGCAGAAUUCCAGGUGUAGCGGUGAAAUGCGUAGAUAUCUGGAGGAAUACCGGUGGCGAAGGCGGCAUCCUGGACCAUAACUGACGCUGAGGCGCGAAAGCUAGGGGAGCAAACGGG
This 253-nucleotide ribosomal RNA is filed under the name uncultured bacterium. RNAcentral's name for it is "partial 16S ribosomal RNA". It matches the Rfam family "Bacterial small subunit ribosomal RNA", at positions 524 to 776 of the family's 1533-position model. The record is from RNAcentral.